RNAcentral lists this ribosomal RNA (483 nucleotides) under uncultured bacterium. RNAcentral's name for it is "partial 16S ribosomal RNA". It matches the Rfam family "Bacterial small subunit ribosomal RNA", at positions 28 to 523 of the family's 1533-position model. The record is from RNAcentral.
GACGAGCGCUGGCGGCGUGCUUAACACAUGCAAGUCGAACGAUGAUGCCCAGCUUGCUGGGUGGAUUAGUGGCGAACGGGUGAGUAACACGUGAGUAACCUGCCCCUGACUCUGGGAUAAGCGUUGGAAACGACGUCUAAUACUGGAUAUGACUGCCGGCCGCAUGGUCUGGUGGUGGAAAGAUUUUUUGGUUGGGGAUGGACUCGCGGCCUAUCAGCUUGUUGGUGAGGUAAUGGCUCACCAAGGCGACGACGGGUAGCCGGCCUGAGAGGGGGAACGGCCUCACUGGGACUGAGACACGGCCCAGACUCCUACGGGAGGCAGCAGUGGGGAAUAUUGCACAAUGGGCGAAAGCCUGAUGCAGCAACGCCGCGUGAGGGAUGACGGCCUUCGGGUUGUAAACCUCUUUUAGUAGGGAAGAAGCGAAAGUGACGGUACCUGCAGAAAAAGCACCGGCUAACUACGUGCCAGCCGCCGCCGUAA